This 461-nucleotide ribosomal RNA is filed under the name uncultured Planctomyces sp. RNAcentral's name for it is "bacterial SSU rRNA". It matches the Rfam family "Bacterial small subunit ribosomal RNA", at positions 338 to 795 of the family's 1533-position model. The record is from RNAcentral. Lineage: Bacteria; Pseudomonadati; Planctomycetota; Planctomycetia; Planctomycetales; Planctomycetaceae.
CCUACGGGAGGCUGCAGUCGAGAAUCUUCGUCAAUGGGCGAAAGCCUGAACGAGCGACGCCGCGUGUGGGAUGAAGGCCCUUGGGUUGUAAACCACUGUCGAGGGGGAUGAAGGCUUGAAGGUACUCCUUCAAGUUUGACAGAGCCCUGGAGGAAGCACGGGCUAAGUUCGUGCCAGCAGCCGCGGUAAUACGAACUGUGCGAACGUUAUUCGGAAUCACUGGGCUUACAGGGUGCGUAGGCGGCUUUUCAGGUCAGGUGUGAAAGCCCCCGGCUCAACCGGGGAACUGCGCUUGAAACCGAAAGGCUCGAGUCAGCUAGAGGUACACGGAACUUCCAGUGGAGCGGUGAAAUGUGUUGAUAUUGGAAGGAACACCGGAGGCGAAAGCGGUGUACUGGGGCUGGUCUGACGCUGAGGCACGAAAGCCAGGGGAGCGAACGGGAUUAGAUACCCGUGUAGUC